This is a long non-coding RNA of Fundulus heteroclitus (mummichog), 165 nucleotides long. RefSeq lists it as uncharacterized. The record is from RefSeq and is a predicted model, not a curated record. NCBI's taxonomy places the organism in Eukaryota, Metazoa, Chordata, Actinopteri, Cyprinodontiformes, Fundulidae. The transcript has 3 exons.
CCCCCCACUGCAGACAAGCCUGAAAAUUGGCGUACAGCCUAAAAAGAAACAUCUCCAUGGUGAUUUUGUUAUCUCUAAGAUUCCUCUGGUGUUUAUGACCGGUUUUCCUGUCUCAGCGCUCUGUGUUCUGCUCCGUGGAUUCCUGUGAGACUUCUCAAUGGCAAC